UACGUAGGGUGCAAGCGUUAAUCGGAAUUACUGGGCGUAAAGCGUGCGCAGGCGGUUUUGUAAGUUUGUCGUGAAAGCCCCGGGCUCAACCUGGGAAUUGCGAUGAAGACUGCAAGGCUUGAAUCUGGCAGAGGGGGUAGAAUUCCGACGUGUAGCAGUGAAAUGCGUAGAGAUGUGGAGGACACCGAUGGCGAAGGCAGCCCCCUGGGUCAAGAUUGACGCUCAUGCACGAAAGCGUGGGGAGCAAACAGGA
This 253-nucleotide ribosomal RNA is filed under the name uncultured bacterium. RNAcentral describes it as "partial 16S ribosomal RNA". It matches the Rfam family "Bacterial small subunit ribosomal RNA", at positions 524 to 777 of the family's 1533-position model. The record is from RNAcentral.